RNAcentral lists this ribosomal RNA (253 nucleotides) under uncultured bacterium. Its description in RNAcentral is "partial 16S ribosomal RNA". It matches the Rfam family "Bacterial small subunit ribosomal RNA", at positions 524 to 776 of the family's 1533-position model. The record is from RNAcentral.
UACGAAGGGGGCUAGCGUUGUUCGGAAUUACUGGGCGUAAAGCGCGCGCAGGCGGUCUUCCAAGUCAGUGGUGAAAGCCCGGAGCUCAACUCCGGAACUGCCAUUGAAACUGUAAGACUUGAGGAUGAGAGAGGUGAGUGGAAUUCCCAGUGUAGAGGUGAAAUUCGUAGAUAUUGGGAAGAACACCGGUGGCGAAGGCGGCAUCCUGGACCGGCAUUGACGCUGAGGAGCGAAAGCUAGGGGAGCAAACGGG